Puntigrus tetrazona (Sumatra barb) is the source of this 2084-nucleotide long non-coding RNA. RefSeq lists it as uncharacterized. The transcript is spliced from 3 exons. The record is from RefSeq and is a predicted model, not a curated record. Lineage: Eukaryota; Metazoa; Chordata; Actinopteri; Cypriniformes; Cyprinidae.
AUGAGCUCAUGACCUUAUCUGUCAAUCACUCUUAGCUGGAUAGGCAACCUUUUCUGUGGAAUACAAAAGGAGAUAAUGUGUAGAAUGUCUGCAAAAUAACAGUGUUGCUAUUAUAUAUGUAUGUGCAUCUAUUUAUUUUAAUAUAUUUAUUUAUUUAUGAGUUAGCUACCUACUGGGUCAUCUAUCAGCAGUUUUGUCCUUCAAAGUAGCUCAUGCCUAGACAAGAAGCACGCACGUGCACUGUGUGACUCACAGGACGCGUGCAUUAUUGAUAUGCAUGUAUAGAGUUAUUGCUCACGGCUGAAUAUUAAACUCACAGGCUGUGAGUCACACCACACUGGAGCUCUGUGGGAAGCAAUACGUCACACGGAAAGCUGUCAGUCAGUCCCUGCAGUUUUAUAAUUGCCAUGACAAGACUGAGAGCAGCAUCUGCUGGAUUGUAGGUGCACACCAAGUGUCAUACAAAAAUGUACAGUUUACUUAAUGGUGCUAUGGCGCCAUCUAGUGAUGUAUUUUCUUUUCUUUCCUUUUUGCUUCGUUAAAACUUUAUCCCCAACUGUAAUAGUUUAAUUUAAAUUAAGUUUUUAAAUAUAACUUUAGAAUGUACAAUUGAAACUAUAACUAAACCUUACAGGCCAAUGAGAAACCACCUCCCAUGUGUGAGGGAAAGCAAAAAAGUAGUAAAAAAGCAUCCUACAUCUAAGCCUAAUGGCAGGCUGUGACCCCUGCUUAAAAAAAACCCAAAAACAAACACACAGGCUAAAACUAGGCUGGUUGGCUAGCCAUAGCUGGUUUAAGCUGGUCUCUCAGCCUUGCUAGAAUGGUCAGGUUGGUUUUAGCUGGUUAGCCAGCCUGACCAGCUAAUAUCAGCCUGGCAUGUUUGAAAUGUGUCUGUUGACCAUCUUAAACCAGCUUAGACCAGGCAGGGUUUAACGAUUAGGCGGAAGCCAAGGUAGAAUACAGAAUGCAGUUGUAAAAUUUAAAUCACAAGCAGCAAUCAGAAACAUUAAUAUCAAAUAAGCAGUCCGAUCUUUCAACAAGUACAGGGGUAAUUCAAUAAACAACAGUCAGAAAGCAGGCAAUGGGUCAUCCAGUACAUAAGUUAAAUUUCAGUUCCAAGAAUCGUGAACCGUGAAACUCAUAUACAGAACAGGAAAUAGUCAGAGAAGAAGCAGAGGGAGGGAGUACAGCUAGUACUCGGGCUCCCUCUGCUGGCUAGGCGUUACACUGGGAAAGCAGCUAAAACUAGCAAACAAGACUAGGCUGGUUUUAGCUGUUUUUGUUAGCAGGAACGGUAUUUAAAAAUGCAGGGGCACUUUGGGAAAACGACUCCAUUUGUAGGGAGGUUCCCAAAGAAAGUAGGAAACUGAAGCUGAAGCUGUGAAUCCUGAAGUCACUGUGAAAAAUAAUGUUACUGGACACUUGGAUGAUGCCUCUCACAAAACCAGAAUGAAAAACAAAUAUGAGCGCUUAUUUUAGGGAAUCAAACUCCAUGUGAACACAAGCAAAACCCUUCUGAAAACCGAUCUACACACAGAUCUGCAUUGCGAUGCUAGAGAUAGAGACAACAGCCUCACUUAAACCAGGAUGUGUGGAGGAAGACAAAAUUAACACUGUCCAUACUAAUGCCAUCUUGGGAAUUGGAAAAACGGUCUCUGUGCAGAAGUUCAUUCUGGAGUGGGCCGAGGGAAAAACCAAUCAGGAUGAGAACUUGAUUUAAGAUGAGUACUUGAAGCACUUCAAGGAAGUGCUAAGGACGUUUUACAAAUCUGAGCAAUUGUAAUUGUACAUGCUGCUUAAAGCAGCAGUUGAUAAAUCAAUGCAGACUGAACUCUUUGAUCUUUUCCUCCACUUUCUGGGUUGUCCAAUCUCACGGUAGUCCAAUCAUAUACUAUUAGAGGAUAUACUAAAAUACACAGAGAGCACUGCAGGGGCACAUUGUGUAUUACAGAUACAAUUAUUGGUGAUAAACAACUCCCAGCUUAUAAAUCUAUCAAUUGAUUUCUCUGUUUGCAGGAAAUUAAUAAUCAGACUCUCUGCAAUAGAGAUUCAGGGGUUAGUGAAAUUAAAUAAACUCUCAUGGA